RNAcentral lists this unclassified non-coding RNA (348 nucleotides) under soil metagenome. Its description in RNAcentral is "partial contains 5.8S ribosomal RNA, internal transcribed spacer 2, and large subunit ribosomal RNA". The stretch from base 1 to 120 matches the Rfam family "5.8S ribosomal RNA", at positions 35 to 154 of the family's 154-position model. The record is from RNAcentral.
GAUGAAGAACGCAGCGAAAUGCGAAAAGUAAUGUGAAUUGCAGAAUUCAGUGAAUCAUCGAAUCUUUGAACGCACAUUGCGCCCGCCAGUAUUCUGGCGGGCAUGCCUGUCUGAGCGUCAUUUCAACCCUCAUGCCCCUAGGGCGUGGUGUUGGGGAUCGGCCAGCGCCCGCGAGGGACGGCCGGCCCCUAAAUCUAGUGGCGGACCCGUCGUGGCCUCCCCUGCGAAGUAGUGAUAUUCCGCAUAGGAGAGCGACGAGCCCCUGCCGUUAAACCCCUAACUUUCUAAGGUUGACCUCAGAUCAGGUAGGAAUACCCGCUGAACUUAAGCAUAUCAAUAAGCGGAGGA